Nerophis ophidion (straightnose pipefish) is the source of this 261-nucleotide long non-coding RNA. RefSeq lists it as uncharacterized. NCBI's taxonomy places the organism in Eukaryota, Metazoa, Chordata, Actinopteri, Syngnathiformes, Syngnathidae. The record is from RefSeq and is a predicted model, not a curated record. The transcript is spliced from 4 exons.
CAGCAAGCAAGACGAAGAGCGAAGAUUUGAAUUGGAAAUCGAACUAUUUCAUUGCAAAGAAAACCAUCGACGUCCAUAAAGAUUCAGAAAUUGGAGACAGUGGAGGAACUACUCGACCUUGACGAGUUGAUAAAAACUUAACCAAGCAAGAAAGAUUUGCUGACAGCCAGGCUCUCAAAGAUUGGUGGAUAUGACUUAAAGAGCUGUUUAAGCACCAUCAUGGACAGGCUCAUGACAAAUGAAUUAAUGUCCAAUCUGAAC